GUUCUAUCUGACCUGCUAGGAGACCUGGAGGCCUGCGAUGACCUGAAAGGUGGAGUUGUGGCUAACGGGGAAGCCUCUAACGACAAGCAGACCAUCAUCCAAAACCGCAUUAAGCAAAUGAUGGAUGUCUCUCGGGUCCUGACCACUCUGUCUGUUGUGGAGGAAGAGCGCGAUCGCUUCAUGACCAAGCUGCUAAACGAAGAGAAGUCCAGGAAAGAGCUGGAAGAGCAAUUUCAGAAGCUGGAGCAUGACAUCUUGUUGGUGAAAAGUGACAAGAACCACCUGGAGAACCAGUACAAGACCCUGCAGCAGAAG
Molecule: long non-coding RNA, 315 nt
Organism: Salvelinus namaycush (lake trout)
Lineage: Eukaryota; Metazoa; Chordata; Actinopteri; Salmoniformes; Salmonidae
Exons: 4
Source: RefSeq, a predicted model, not a curated record